UUCCCUACGGGACGCAGCAGUGGGGAAUAUUGGGCAAUGGAGGAAACUCUUACCCAGCAAUGCCGCGUGAAUGAAGAAGGUCUUCGGAUUGUAAAGUUCUUUAAUUGGGGACGAAAAAAAUGACGGUACCCAAGGAAUAAGCCCCGGCUAACUACGUGCCAGCAGCCGCGGUAAUACGUAGGGGGCAAGCGUUGUUCGGAAUGACUGGGCGUAAAGGGUGCGCAGGCGGUCCUGCAAGUCUGGAGUGAAACGCAUGAGCUCAACUCAUGCAUGGCUUUGGAAACUGGAGGACUGGAGAGCAGGAG
Molecule: ribosomal RNA, 305 nt
Filed under: uncultured bacterium
Lineage: Bacteria
Description: bacterial SSU rRNA
Rfam family: Bacterial small subunit ribosomal RNA
Source: RNAcentral